RNAcentral lists this ribosomal RNA (100 nucleotides) under Canis lupus dingo (dingo). Lineage: Eukaryota; Metazoa; Chordata; Mammalia; Carnivora; Canidae. The record is from RNAcentral.
GUCUAUGGCUAUACCACCCUGAACGUGCCUGAUCUUGUCUGAUCUUGGAAGCUAUGCAGAGUCAGGCUUGUUUAGUCCUUUGAUGGGAGAACUGUUGGGU